UGCAAGUCGAACGGUGAACACGGAGCUUGCUCUGUGGGAUCAGUGGCGAACGGGUGAGUAACACGUGAGCAACCUGCCCCUGACUCUGGGAUAAGCGCUGGAAACGGCGUCUAAUACUGGAUAUGUGACGUGACCGCAUGGUCUGCGUCUGGAAAGAAUUUCGGUUGGGGAUGGGCUCGCGGCCUAUCAGCUUGUUGGUGAGGUAAUGGCUCACCAAGGCGUCGACGGGUAGCCGGCCUGAGAGGGUGACCGGCCACACUGGGACUGAGACACGGCCCAGACUCCUACGGGAGGCAGCAGUGGGGAAUAUUGCACAAUGGGCGCAAGCCUGAUGCAGCAACGCCGCGUGAGGGACGACGGCCUUCGGGUUGUAAACCUCUUUUAGCAGGGAAGAAGCGAAAGUGACGGUACCUGCAGAAAAAGCGCCGGCUAACUACGUGCCAGCAGCCGCGGUAAUACGUAGGGCGCAAGCGUUAUCCGGAAUUAUUGGGCGUAAAGAGCUCGUAGGCGGUUUGUCGCGUCUGCUGUGAAAUCCGGAGGCUCAACCUCCGGCCUGCAGUGGGUACGGGCAGACUAGAGUGCGGUAGGGGAGAUUGGAAUUCCUGGUGUAGCGGUGGAAUGCGCAGAUAUCAGGAGGAACACCGAUGGCGAAGGCAGAUCUCUGGGCCGUAACUGACGCUGAGGAGCGAAAGGGUGGGGAGCAAACAGGCUUAGAUACCCUGGUAGUCCACCCCGUAAACGUUGGGAACUAGUUGUGGGGUCCAUUCCACGGAUUCCGUGACGCAGCUAACGCAUUAAGUUCCCCGCCUGGGGAGUACGGCCGCAAGGCUAAAACUCAAAGGAAUUGACGGGGACCCGCACAAGCGGCGGAGCAUGCGGAUUAAUUCGAUGCAACGCGAAGAACCUUACCAAGGCUUGACAUAUACGAGAACGGGCCAGAAAUGGUCAACUCUUUGGACACUCGUAAACAGGUGGUGCAUGGUUGUCGUCAGCUCGUGUCGUGAGAUGUUGGGUUAAGUCCCGCAACGAGCGCAACCCUCGUUCUAUGUUGCCAGCACGUAAUGGUGGGAACUCAUGGGAUACUGCCGGGGUCAACUCGGAGGAAGGUGGGGAUGACGUCAAAUCAUCAUGCCCCUUAUGUCUUGGGCUUCACGCAUGCUACAAUGGCCGGUACAAAGGGCUGCAAUACCGCGAGGUGGAGCGAAUCCCAAAAAGCCGGUCCCAGUUCGGAUUGAGGUCUGCAACUCGACCUCAUGAAGUCGGAGUCGCUAGUAA
RNAcentral lists this ribosomal RNA (1275 nucleotides) under Microbacterium oxydans. RNAcentral's name for it is "bacterial SSU rRNA". It matches the Rfam family "Bacterial small subunit ribosomal RNA", at positions 56 to 1341 of the family's 1533-position model. Lineage: Bacteria; Bacillati; Actinomycetota; Actinomycetes; Micrococcales; Microbacteriaceae. The record is from RNAcentral.